GCCAGCAUGGCAUAGUGGUUUGAGUACUGGACUAUAACUCUGGAGACCAGGGUUCGAUUCCCAGAUCAACCA
Non-coding RNA from Phrynosoma platyrhinos (Desert horned lizard), 72 nucleotides. The record is from the annotation of a GenBank genome assembly. NCBI's taxonomy places the organism in Eukaryota, Metazoa, Chordata, Lepidosauria, Squamata, Phrynosomatidae.